This 492-nucleotide ribosomal RNA is filed under the name uncultured bacterium. RNAcentral describes it as "partial 16S ribosomal RNA". It matches the Rfam family "Bacterial small subunit ribosomal RNA", at positions 28 to 507 of the family's 1533-position model. The record is from RNAcentral.
GAUGAACGCUAGCUAUAGGCUUAACACAUGCAAGUCGAGGGGAAACGGCAUUAUGUGCUUGCACAUUUUGGACGUCGACCGGCGCACGGGUGAGUAUCGCGUAUCCAACCUGCCCUUUACUUGGGGAUACCCCGUUGAAAGACGGCCUAAUACCCGAUGUAAUUCAUUGAUGGCAUCAGAUAUGAAUAAAAGAUUUAUCGGUAAAGGAUGGGGAUGCGUCUGAUUAGCUUGUUGGUGAGGUAACGGCUCACCAAGGCGACGAUCAGUAGGGGUUCUGAGAGGAAGGUCCACCAGAUUGGAACUGAGACACGGACCAAACUCGUACGGGAGGCAGGGGUGAGGAAUAUAAGGCAAUGAGCGCAAGCCUGAAACAGCCAAGUAGGGUGCAGGAAGACGGGCCUAUGGGUUGUAAACUGCUUUGAUACGAGAAUAAUUUGAUGAACGUGUGCGUUAUUGCAUGUAUCGAAUGAAUAAGGACCGGCUAAUUCCGUG